This 523-nucleotide long non-coding RNA is filed under the name Mus musculus (house mouse). RNAcentral describes it as "predicted gene, 41664". The record is from RNAcentral. Lineage: Eukaryota; Metazoa; Chordata; Mammalia; Rodentia; Muridae.
GUCGCGGAGUCUCCUGAACACUGCUCCUUCCUCCCUGGUCGUCUGAACCCGCAAACCCGGCUCGGGAGAGCGAGCACUCCCUGCUCCCUCUGGGCUUUGCGACCGGCCAUGUCCCAGAGCUCACCGUCCUGCCCGACCCCACGUGACAUGGGGACAGGGGCCACUCACCGCGAUCAUCACCGUGUCUUCUCCCUGGAAUUUGGCGACGUACUUAUCGCCGCGGUUCACUUCAGAUUCGUUGAGAGGUCUGAAGCGACACAUCACUUUGAUGUUGCACUCCGCCGGGUCCGCCAUCUUUCUGGAAGCCGGGACCGCAGGCCGGGCGCCUCUUCAAGCCGCUCAGUCUUGGGGGUGGGGUAGAAGUUGGGCUGCACAUGUAGAGGUCAGAGGACAACUUUCGGAAGUCAACUCUCUGCUGCUACAGUCUCCUGCCUCCAGAUCUGUUUGAGUUCCUGUCCAGACUUCCUUUACUGUUAAACAGUGCUGUGAAAGUGUAAGCUGAAUAAAAAACCCUUUCUUCCCU